RNAcentral lists this small nucleolar RNA (106 nucleotides) under Nomascus leucogenys (northern white-cheeked gibbon). RNAcentral's name for it is "Small nucleolar RNA U13". It matches the Rfam family "Small nucleolar RNA U13". The record is from Rfam by way of RNAcentral. Lineage: Eukaryota; Metazoa; Chordata; Mammalia; Primates; Hylobatidae.
AUCCUCUGGGUAGUUUGUAAGUGUGAUGAUAUGAGUAUUCACAUGCAUGUGUGAGAUGUGUCACUCUCCAACCUUAUUGCAACAUGGGGACAUUACUCAUCUGACA